GGGCUCACUUUAAGAGCACAUAUCCUAAAAUUGGAAUGAUACAGAGAGGAUUAGCAUGGCCCCUGAGCAAGGAUGAUACCCAAAGUCCAUCUUUUU
Molecule: small nuclear RNA, 96 nt
Filed under: Catagonus wagneri (Chacoan peccary)
Lineage: Eukaryota; Metazoa; Chordata; Mammalia; Artiodactyla; Tayassuidae
Source: RNAcentral